AUGUGUGUAACUCAUGUUAGGAUGUGUGUAACUCAUGUUAGGAUGUGUGUAACUCAUGUUAGGAUGUGUGUAACUCAUGUUAGGAUGUGUGUAACUCAUGGUAGGAUGUGUGUAACUCAUGGUAGGAUGUUUGUAACUCAUGUUAGGAUGUGUGUAACUCAUGUUAGGAUGUGUGUAACGUGUGUAACUCAUGUUAGGAUGUGUGUAACUCAUGUUAGGAUGUGUGUAACUCAUGUUAGGAUGUGUGUAACUCAUGUUAGGAUGUGUGUAACUCAUGGUAGGAUGUGUGUAACUCAUGGUAGGAUGUUUGUAACUCAUGUUAGGAUGUGUGUAACUCAUGUUAGGAUGUGUGUAACGUGUGUAACUCAUGUUAGGAUGUGUGUAACUCAUGGUAGGAUGUGUGUAACUCAUGUUAGGAUGUGUGUAACUCAUGUUAGGAUGUGUGUAACUCAUGUUAGGAUGUGUGUAACUCAUGUUAGGAUGUGUGUAACUCAUGGUAGGAUGUGUGUAACUCAUGGUAGGAUGUGUGUAACUCAUGGUAGGAUGUGUGUAACUCAUGUUAGGAUGUGUGUAACUCAUGUUAGGAUGUGUGUAACUCAUGUUAGGAUGUGUGUAACUCAUGGUAGGAUGUGUGUAACUCAUGUUAGGAUGUGUGUAACUCAUGGUAGGAUGUGUGUAACUCAUGGUAGGAUGUGUGUAACUCAUGUUAGGAUGUGUGUAACUCAUGGUAGGAUGUGUGUAAUUCAUGUUAGGAUGUGUGUAACUCAUGUUAGGAUGUGUGUAACUCAUGGUAGGAUGUGUGUAACUCAUGUUAGGAUGUGUGUAACUCAUGUUAGGAUGUUUGUAACUCAUGUUAGGAUGUGUGUAACUCAUGUUAGGAUGUGUGUAACGUGUGUAACUCAUGUUAGGAUGUGUGUAACUCAUGGUAGGAUGUGUGUAACUCAUGUUAGGAUGUGUGUAACUCAUGUUAGGAUGUGUGUAACUCAUGGUAGGAUGUGUGUAACUCAUGGUAGGAUGUGUGUAACUCAUGGUAGGAUGUGUGUAACUCAUGUUAGGAUGUGUGUAACUCAUGUUAGGAUGUUUGUAACUCAUGUUAGGAUGUGUGUAACUCAUGUUAGGAUGUGUGUAACUCAUGUUAGGAUGUUUGUAACUCAUGUUGGUGUAUUCCUCCCUUCCCCUCUCAGUUCAAAAGGAUUUAUUGACAUGGAAAAUGUAACCACAUACACUGCCCAAUAA
Molecule: long non-coding RNA, 1236 nt
Filed under: Salmo trutta (river trout)
Lineage: Eukaryota; Metazoa; Chordata; Actinopteri; Salmoniformes; Salmonidae
Description: lncRNA (ENSSTUG00000001940.1)
Source: RNAcentral